GUAGAUAUAAUUUAAUGAAAAUAUUAGAUUGUGAUUCUAAAAAUAGGGGUUAAACCCCCCUUGUCCACC
This 69-nucleotide transfer RNA is filed under the name Lophius budegassa (black-bellied angler). RNAcentral's name for it is "tRNA-His". It matches the Rfam family "tRNA". From Rfam's summary of the family: Transfer RNA (tRNA) molecules are approximately 80 nucleotides in length. Lineage: Eukaryota; Metazoa; Chordata; Actinopteri; Lophiiformes; Lophiidae. The record is from RNAcentral.